AUUUUUAGAUUACGACGUUUAUCUUAUUCGCGUAACAGAUACUUCUUUCGCGUGUCUAUGCACCUUGUAAAACAUAACUGUACUUUCAUAUCGUGAAUUAUGAAUUUAGGAUACGGAAAAUCAAGACAGAUGCGUAUCUAUGGAAUUUCAUUACAUCGAAUAAGUAGCCCAACCCAUAAAUAAAUCAGGCAAACGGGGAGAAUGACUAACGCAAGAUUACGCGACCCAUCGACCACUUUCGGCCCACGCUAUUUUAUCACAUUUUUAAUCCAAUCUUCGUACAUAUAAGGUUGUGAUACGAUAAACAUAAAUUUUUAGUUUUUGUAUAAAUUCAUUAUGUUAUCAAUAAAUUUUGUACGAUUAAAAUAUAUAAAA
Long non-coding RNA from Bombus pyrosoma, 375 nucleotides. RefSeq lists it as uncharacterized. The record is from RefSeq and is a predicted model, not a curated record. The transcript is spliced from 2 exons. NCBI's taxonomy places the organism in Eukaryota, Metazoa, Arthropoda, Insecta, Hymenoptera, Apidae.